UACAGAGGGUGCAAGCGUUGUUCGGAAUUAUUGGGCGUAAAGCGCGUGUAGGCGGUUUCGAAAGUCGGGUGUGAAAGCCCUCAGCUCAACUGAGGAAGUGCGCCCGAAACUGCGGAGCUUGAGUACCGGAGAGGAUGGCGGAAUUCCCCAAGUAGAGGUGAAAUUCGUAGAUAUGGGGAGGAACACCGGUGGCGAAGGCGGCCAUCUGGACGGAUACUGACGCUGAGACGCGAAAGCGUGGGUAGCAAACAGG
RNAcentral lists this ribosomal RNA (253 nucleotides) under uncultured bacterium. RNAcentral describes it as "partial 16S ribosomal RNA". It matches the Rfam family "Bacterial small subunit ribosomal RNA", at positions 524 to 776 of the family's 1533-position model. The record is from RNAcentral.